Molecule: ribosomal RNA, 722 nt
Filed under: uncultured Fusobacterium sp.
Lineage: Bacteria; Fusobacteriati; Fusobacteriota; Fusobacteriia; Fusobacteriales; Fusobacteriaceae
Description: bacterial SSU rRNA
Rfam family: Bacterial small subunit ribosomal RNA
Source: RNAcentral
GAUGAACGCUGACAGAAUGCUUAACACAUGCAAGUCUACUUGAACUUCGGUUUGGGUGGCGGACGGGUGAGUAACGCGUAAAGAACUUGCCUCACAGUUAGGGACAACAUUUGGAAACGAAUGCUAAUACCUGAUAUUAUGAUUUUAGGGCAUCCUAGGAUUAUGAAAGCUAUAUGUGCUGUGAGAGAGCUUUGCGUCCCAUUAGCUAGUUGGAGAGGUAACGGCUCACCAAGGCGAUGAUGGGUAGCCGGCCUGAGAGGGUGAACGGCCACAAGGGGACUGAGACACGGCCCUUACUCCUACGGGAGGCAGCAGUGGGGAAUAUUGGACAAUGGACCAAAAGUCUGAUCCAGCAAUUCUGUGUGCACGAUGACGUUUUUCGGAAUGUAAAGUGCUUUCAGUUGGGAAGAAAAAAAUGACGGUACCAACAGUAGAAGUGACGGCUAAAUACGUGCCAGCAGCCGCGGUAAUACGUAUGUCACAAGCGUUAUCCGGAUUUAUUGGGCGUAAAGCGCGUCUAGGUGGUUAUGUAAGUCUGAUGUGAAAAUGCAGGGCUCAACUCUGUAUUGCGUUGGAAACUGCAUGACUAGAGUACUGGAGAGGUAAGCGGAACUACAAGUGUAGAGGUGAAAUUCGUAGAUAUUUGUAGGAAUGCCGAUGGGGAAGCCAGCUUACUGGACAGAUACUGACGCUAAAGCGCGAAAGCGUGGGUAGCAAACAGG